AUGAUGAGCUACGGGGAAGGGCCGAGGAGGAACACUGCGGCUACUGCUGUCCAGACCUAUCUGAGCUGGAUCAGUGACUCAGGCUCCAAGCCCCAGAGGACACUUCACAUGCGGGCCACCUCCUUGAGAUUUUCUGAGUCCCCCAUGGUGCCUGGCACCAGCCAGGGCUGCAGUGCCAUCAUGCCGGGCUGCCCUCAGCCUGGCCUGGCACUCACGUCUCUCUCCUUCAGAGGACUACCCUGUGAAUGGACCUUGCUCAGGGGUCAUCCUGAGGCCCUGUGAUGCCCGAGGACGCGUGCCCACGUGGUCAUCUGUGGCCUGUGUGUGGCCACCUGUCUCAGGAGGGCAGCCUGGCGAGCAGAUGAUCCCCAGGGACUAAACAGAGCAUUCCUUCCACAGAAAUGUGUGGCGCUAAACUGGGCUUCCCAGGUGGCACUAGAGGUAAAGAACCCGCCUGCCAAUUCAGGAGAUAUAAGAGACGCGGGUUUGAUCCUGAGUCAGGAAGACUCCCUGGAGGAGGGCAUGGCAGUCCACUCCAGUGUUCUAGCCUGGUGAAUCCCACGGACAGAGGAGAUGGUGGGCUGCAGCCUACAGGGUCACAAAGAGUCGGACAGGACCGCACACAAGCACGUGAAACUGAACUGUCAGACUGGUGCUGAUUUGAAGUAACUUUUUUAACACUCUAUUUUCUUUAUUCUUAAUGCAUAUUUUAAUUAUUUUAAUUUAAAUUUUUUCAGUUCUACUGAGGUAAAACUGACAAAAGAUACUAAAACGUACAUCAUGAUGAUUUGACACAUGUAGCCAUUGUGAAAGGGUAUCCCCACCUAGUUAAUUAACACAUUUAUCACCUCACAUAUUUAUCUCUUUAUGUGUGUGUGUGUGAGAACAUUUAAGUUCUACUCUCUCAGCAAAUGUCAUCACACAGUAAGUGUUAUCAACGACAGUCACCAUGAUAAACAUCAGAUCUUCAGAUCUGAUUUAUCUUUAUCUUGUAGCUGAAAUUUUAUGCCCUUUUGCAAAACUUUCGGUAUUUUCCGCACCCUACCCCCCUACCCCUGCCACCUCCAAAACCACUUUUCUACUCUAUUUCUCUGAGUUUGACAUUUUUUAAGAUUCCACUCAAAUUGCUUACACAGACAGGAUCCCACAAAAUAUAUUUGCCUGGGGUCCCACACAUCUAAGUGUUGGACCCAUCACAGCCUUGCUGGCAGUUGCCUAAGGCCAUUUUUCACUGUCUCAAUUGUUAUCAUCCCCAUUACAAAGAAGAGGACACUGAGGUUCACAGAGGUUAAGCAACUCCCUGGUGAAUCCCCAGCAGGUGAUGGGGCAGCCGAGUCUGGUGAGCCUGCUGUUGGCAGGUGCUCGAACCCACACUCUCCCUUGCCCACCCAUCAACUAAGGACGCCUCGGAUAUGUUCCGCCCCAGUGAAUGUGCUGACGUCUAGAACACUCCCACGCACCAGUGGUCACCUAAUCUGUGACACAGGAGGCAAGAAAUAUACAGUGGAGAAAAGACACUUUAAUAAGUGGUGCUGGGAAAACUGGACAGCUCCAUGGAAAAGAAUGAAAAUGAGAACACUCUAAUACCAUACACAAAAACAAACUCAAAAAGGGAUUAAAGACCUAAAUGUAAGACUAGAUACUAUAAAACUCAGAGGAAAACAGGCAGAACAUUCUCUGAAAUAAAUCACAGCAAGAUCUUUUUGGAUUCACCUGUGAGAGUGAUGAAAAUAAAAACAAAAAUAAACAGAUCCAGGGGCACUCGUUAAAUAGUAGCCACAUGGCCAUGAUGAGAGAAAGAGUGAGAAGUAAAUACAAUAAUGUUAUUAAUAUUUAUUAUGGAAUUUUUAUUAUCUAAUUUUUACUUUUCUAUAUUUUCUUUGUUUUUCCAACUCUAUGAUAACUAUGAAAUCCUUUUUAGACCAUUAAUCUGAUCUUUCCUUUGGAAAUUACACAAUGUAAUUGUAAUUUCUGCUUUUAAAAUUGCUUCAACGGCUUACAAAGAUUUUUUCUUCCGCGUGGUACUUGGAAAUCUCCUUGCAUCCUCAACGUUUGGUUCUUUUGCUCCUUUCUCCUCCCCACCCCACAUCUUUGGACUGAUGCUGUUAGGGGCCCCACGUGCUCCUUCUGAGCCCCAGUCCAGGUUCGUCCCAGGACGACAGAAACACUUAAGAGCGUUAACUUGGGCUUCCUGUGAACAGCAGAGACUGUGAAAAACUCAGGAUGUUCCCGCAAAUGGCACUGGGACUAUCCAGAUUGCUGGGGGUGGUGCUGAGGUUGGCUGUGAGGAGGAGGUGCCCGCGAGUGGGCAGGAAAGAGAGGCGUGUUGUCUUCUAUUAUGGGGUUCGGCCCAUCUAAGGUGGUCACACUCCCCUCUGCUGGUUUCAACAACCAGAAACAGAGGGGAGGUGAUGCAUGACUAAGAGGUGUUCUUCCAGCAGAAGGAGGGAGUCCUGUCGCUUCUGUGGGGUCAGGCUUGUUUUCUGCUGUGGGAAGAUUCCAGAACACAAAAAUAUUAGGAAGGCUCCUCGGAACUCCAGCUUUGCUAGUACACCUGCCGUGUGACCCUGUGAAGUUACACAGACCUUUUGUGCCUCAGUCUUCUUAUCUGAAAAGUGGGGAUAAAAUUUCUUUGUCAAAUGGUUGUUGUGAGGAUUAAAUAAGAUGAUGCUGGGGGCUUCCCUUGUGGCUCAGCUGGUAAAGAAUCCACCUGCAAUGCAAGAGGCCUGGGUUCGAUCCCUGAGUUGGGAAGAUCCCCUGGAGAAGGGAAAGGUUACCCACUCCAGCAUUCUGGCCUGGAGAAUUCCUUGGACUGUAUAGUCCAUGGGGUCGCAAAAAGUCGGACACCACUGAGCAACUUUAAAAAAAAAAAAAAAAGAUGAUGCUGGGACACUGUCUAGUACAGGGGACACUGCGACUAUUAUUAUUGUUGUUGAGUUGUUUUAUCUUAGAUGGUCUUUGUUUUUAUUCUUUUUUAAUUAAAAAAUUUUUUAAAGAUAUCCAUCAACACUUUAUUUUUAUUUUCUUUUAUUUAUUUAAUGUGGCUGCACUGGGUCUUCCUUGUAGUGCACUGGCUUAGCUACCCUUCAAUAUGUGGGAUCUUAGUUCCCCAACCAGGGAUUGAACUCGCACUCCCUGCAUUGGAAGCUUGGAAUCUUACCCACUGAACCACUUGGGAAGUCUAGUUUUAUGUGGUCUCAUAGAGGACAGUCUGAGAUCAUGGGCUGGUUCUCCAUGGUGUCAUUUCAAAAAGCUGGGGGAAUACCUCCCAUGUAUAUGUAGUCAGUUUUGAAAAACCAGUUGCAAAUCAAUCAUCCAUUGAUAGAGCCAAACCUUUUGUGCUUAUUUUCUAUUUCCAGUCUUUAUCACCCCUGUGGUGAUGAGGUUU
RNAcentral lists this long non-coding RNA (3388 nucleotides) under Cervus hanglu yarkandensis (Yarkand deer). RNAcentral's name for it is "lncRNA (ENSCHYG00000025862.1)". Lineage: Eukaryota; Metazoa; Chordata; Mammalia; Artiodactyla; Cervidae. The record is from RNAcentral.